This 849-nucleotide long non-coding RNA is filed under the name Triticum aestivum (bread wheat). RNAcentral's name for it is "long non-coding RNA (TAES_LNC016598)". Lineage: Eukaryota; Viridiplantae; Streptophyta; Magnoliopsida; Poales; Poaceae. The record is from RNAcentral.
AAACCACUCCAAGUGAUGUGGGGGUUGACGAGAUUCUUGUCGUGGCAUUGCAGUGCAUCAGGAUCUACCGAGCAGUGCGCCACGUGAUGCGGUUCGGCGGCGCGUGGCCAUGCAGCUCACUGCCGCGGACCACUAAUUUUUUGAUUUCGGGCGGUCCCGCUGGAGUUCACCGAUCCUUCUAAUUCUGGAUCGAGUGGGAGGACAAAGGUAAGCCAUCACCCGGCACCACCCUACGCCUCUUUUGUGGCUUGAGAUCCUCUAAGUUGUUGAUCCAAGCUCAUGGUUCUGGUAGGUGACAGCGACCAAGGACGGUGGUGCAACGUGGCUAUGCAGUCCGGCAAGCACGUGUAUGUAGGACGGUGUGGCGGAUGAAUGUACAGUUUUGUUCACUUAUUCAUUUUUGGGGUGGAUAAUUUCAGCCCAGAUUGCUACUAGUUUUUUGUCUAUUCUUGAGCUUCAGGUUGUAGUUCAUGAGCUAGCAGCAUGCAGCGCGCUACUGCGGUCGACAAAAAACGUCAAUUUGUUUCUCGGGAUGUUCAUUUGAAGUUCACUCAUGUUUAUAUUUUCUUCUGGAAAAUCAUUUGCAGUGCGCUCAAUAAGAAAAAGAAGAGAACAUCGAUCUUCAUUCAAGUUUCAUUUUGUUGUUUUGAGAAAUGCAUAGUGAAAAGAGUAGUAAAAAUGGAUGUAGGUUGGUUUAAAAAAGCACUUCGUUUUGGAAAUCAGUAUAUCCACGAAAGUCACAUUGGUUUAAAAUGGAUGUAGAUUGGUUUAAAAAAGCACUUCGUUUUGGAAAUCAGUAUAUCCACGGAAGUCACAUUGUUUUAAAAUGGAUGUAGAUUGGUUUAAAAA